Molecule: non-coding RNA, 26 nt
Filed under: Mus musculus (house mouse)
Lineage: Eukaryota; Metazoa; Chordata; Mammalia; Rodentia; Muridae
Also listed under: 1 other name
Source: RNAcentral
AUGAUUGUUGGCAAGAAAUGUGCUGC